Molecule: ribosomal RNA, 557 nt
Filed under: uncultured bacterium
Lineage: Bacteria
Description: bacterial SSU rRNA
Rfam family: Bacterial small subunit ribosomal RNA
Source: RNAcentral
ACGGGUGCGUAACGCGUGGGAAUCUGCCCUUAGGUUCGGAAUAACAGCUGGAAACGGCUGCUAAUACCGGAUGAUAUCGCGAGAUCAAAGAUUUAUCGCCUGAGGAUGAGCCCGCGUUGGAUUAGGUAGUUGGUGGGGUAAAGGCCUACCAAGCCGACGAUCCAUAGCUGGUCUGAGAGGAUGAUCAGCCACACUGGGACUGAGACACGGCCCAGACUCCUACGGGAGGCAGCAGUGGGGAAUAUUGGACAAUGGGCGCAAGCCUGAUCCAGCAAUGCCGCGUGAGUGAUGAAGGCCCUAGGGUUGUAAAGCUCUUUUACCCGGGAAGAUAAUGACUGUACCGGGAGAAUAAGCCCCGGCUAACUCCGUGCCUGCAGCCGCGGUAAUACGGAGGGGGCUAGCGUUGUUCGGAAUUACUGGGCGUAAAGCGCACGUAGGCGGCUUUGUAAGUCAGAGGUGAAAGCCUGGAGCUCAACUCCAGAACUGCCUUUGAGACUGCAUCGCUUGAAUCCAGGAGAGGUCAGUGGAAUUCCGAGUGUAGAGGUGAAAUUCGUAGA